This 616-nucleotide long non-coding RNA is filed under the name Pogona vitticeps (central bearded dragon). RNAcentral describes it as "lncRNA (ENSPVIG00000020782.1)". Lineage: Eukaryota; Metazoa; Chordata; Lepidosauria; Squamata; Agamidae. The record is from RNAcentral.
AACAAUCCUUUUUGGUAUGGCUUGAUGUCGCUUAUAUUGCUCUGUCAUAAAUGUUCCCAAUAACCUCUUUUCCUUUUGUUUCAGCAGAUCUCCAUUACCAGUUGUGGUUUUUGGGACUCAAAAAGUUAAAACUGCACCACUGAGAAGCUGAAGAGGAUGUAGAAUUGCAUUUGUAGCAAAUAUUGCCCUUGAUAUUUCACACAAGCACAACCUGCAACACAUCAGGAAGGUUUGCUGAGACACGACUUGUGGGGUUAUUUUUCCAGGGAAGACAGUGAGGAGUUCAACGUCAACAGCAAAAGGCAGAGCCCAGGAUGCCUCUCUACUUGGAGGGUGCUGACUGAAAACUUAGCUUUGCCCUCCCAAUAAACCAGCUCAUUUUGGAGCACGGCGCUUCCUUCGGUUUGCCUUUGUCCAAAGAGAGGAUUUUUUCAAUUAGGGUCCCUUUAGAUGGAAUUUUACAUGGCAGAAACCUUGUCACCGGAAGGAUUAAUGUCAGCAUUAGCAUUUCGACAAUAAAAUACAUAUAUUCGAAGCUAAUUGGUGAAUGCCCACGGACAGUCUCAAACCUGGAUUCCUCGGCUCAGCAUUCAGCGUUGGAAUUUUUAAUUACUUG